Molecule: long non-coding RNA, 581 nt
Organism: Prosopis cineraria
Lineage: Eukaryota; Viridiplantae; Streptophyta; Magnoliopsida; Fabales; Fabaceae
Exons: 2
Source: RefSeq, a predicted model, not a curated record
UUCUUCCCCGAUCUUUUUUCUUUGAUCCGCCUAAGUUGAGAGAGACAGAGCUUCGAACAGGAACCCUCCGCCAAAACCUUCGACUUCUUCCUUCUUCCUUCACUGUUCUGACGGUCAUCGGCCAGAGUUGGCCGAGUUGCAGCUUUGCUAUGGUGUCUUCUUCAGCACCGUGAUUUCUUGUUUUUCCCCUGCUCCGUGAUCAUGUGAAUAUGCCGCUGCAGAUUGUGGGUUGCGAGUUCUUGGUUCCCUGUGUUGCCUUCGGUCAUUCACUGGUUCUACUUUGCGUCGUCGGAGCUCCUUCUCUCUCCAUAUCUGUUCUGCAACUUCCUCUUCUUUGUGCUUCUGCCUUCGUGAUCUGAGGAGGAAAGAAUGUUUUGUAUAAGAGUUGAUGUGAUUCGAAUACAGUGGCUUUUCAAGUCCACAAACCAAUUCAAAUCCUCUUGGCAUAAUUGUUUAUCGUAUUCCUUGUAAUUUGUUUAUUGUGUUGCACAAGGUCCAUAAGCCGAUUCAAGUCCUUGCAAUUUGUUUAAUGUAUAUGAUCAGACCACUUGUUUAAAUAAAAACUUUAUUUUGCCUCUGUU